UACCCGCUGGAACUUAAGCAUAUCAAUAAGCGGAGGAAAAGAAACCAACAGGGAUUGCCUCAGUAACGGCGAGUGAAGCGGCAAGAGCUCAAAUUUGAAAGCUGGCCCCUUCGGGGUCCGCGUUGUAAUUUGCAGAGGAUGCUUCGGGUGCAGCCCCCGUCUAAGUGCCCUGGAACGGGCCGUCAUAGAGGGUGAGAAUCCCGUCUGGGACGGGGUGUCUGCGUCCGUGUGAAGCUCCUUCGACGAGUCGAGUUGUUUGGGAAUGCAGCUCUAAAUGGGUGGUAAAUUUCAUCUAAAGCUAAAUACUGGCCGGAGACCGAUAGCGCACAAGUAGAGUGAUCGAAAGAUGAAAAGCACUUUGAAAAGAGAGUUAAACAGCACGUGAAAUUGUUGAAAGGGAAGCGUUUGCGACCAGACUCGCCCGCGGGGUUCAGCCGGCAUUCGUGCCGGUGUACUUCCCCGUGGGCGGGCCAGCGUCGGUUUGGGCGGCCGGUCAAAGGCCCUCGGAAUGUAUCACCUCUCGGGGUGUCUUAUAGCCGAGGGUGCAAUGCGGCCUGCCUGGACCGAGGAACGCGCUUCGGCUCGGACGCUGGCGUAAUGGUCGUAAAUGACCCGUCUUGAACCCACGGACCAAUU
RNAcentral lists this ribosomal RNA (636 nucleotides) under Aspergillus fumigatus. Its description in RNAcentral is "partial large subunit ribosomal RNA". It matches the Rfam family "Eukaryotic large subunit ribosomal RNA", at positions 22 to 671 of the family's 3401-position model. Lineage: Eukaryota; Fungi; Ascomycota; Eurotiomycetes; Eurotiales; Aspergillaceae. The record is from RNAcentral.